RNAcentral lists this ribosomal RNA (497 nucleotides) under uncultured bacterium. RNAcentral's name for it is "partial 16S ribosomal RNA". It matches the Rfam family "Bacterial small subunit ribosomal RNA", at positions 28 to 507 of the family's 1533-position model. The record is from RNAcentral.
GAUGAACGCUGGCGGCGUGCCUAAUACAUGCAAGUCGAGCGAACAGACGAGGAGCUUGCUCCUCUGACGUUAGCGGCGGACGGGUGAGUAACACGUGGAUAACCUACCUAUAAGACUGGGAUAAAUUCGGGAAACCGGAGCUAAUACCGGAUAAUAUAUUGAACCGCAUGGUUCAAUAGUGAAAGACGGUUUUGCUGUCACUUAUAGAUGGAUCCGCGCCGCAUUAGCUAGUUGGUAAGGUAACGGCUUACCAAGGCAACGAUGCGUAGCCGACCUGAGAGAGUGAUCGGCCACACUGGAACUGAGACACGGUCCAGACUCCUACGGGAGGCAGCAGUAGGGAAUCUUCCGCAAUGGGCGAAAGCCUGACGGAGCAACGCCGCGUGAGUGAUGAAGGUCUUCGGAUCGUAAAACUCUGUUAUUAGGGAAGAACAAAUGUGUAAGUAACUAUGCACGUCUUGACGGUACCUAAUCAGAAAGCCACGGCUAACUACGUG